RNAcentral lists this ribosomal RNA (200 nucleotides) under uncultured bacterium. Its description in RNAcentral is "partial 16S ribosomal RNA". It matches the Rfam family "Bacterial small subunit ribosomal RNA", at positions 335 to 527 of the family's 1533-position model. The record is from RNAcentral.
ACUCCUACGGGAGGCAGCAGUGGGGAAUAUUGCACAAUGGGCGCAAGCCUGAUGCAGCCAUGCCGCGUGUGUGAAGAAGGCCUUCGGGUUGUAAAGCACUUUCAGCGGGGAGGAAGGGUCACUAGUUAAUACCUAGUGACAUUGACGUUACUCGCAGAAGAAGCACCGGCUAACUCCGUGCCAGCAGCCGCGGUAAUACA